UUUUAUAGGGGAGCUGGUGAAGUCCGGCUGAGAUUGAUACCGUUAUUGUGUCUGACCCUUGAACCUGAUCUGGAUAAUGCCGGCGUAGGGAACAUAGAGU
RNAcentral lists this non-coding RNA (100 nucleotides) under uncultured Blautia sp. Its description in RNAcentral is "TPP riboswitch (THI element)". The stretch from base 6 to 92 matches the Rfam family "TPP riboswitch aptamer (THI element)", at positions 10 to 89 of the family's 105-position model. From Rfam's summary of the family: Vitamin B(1) in its active form thiamin pyrophosphate (TPP) is an essential coenzyme that is synthesised by coupling of pyrimidine and thiazole moieties in bacteria. The previously detected thiamin-regulatory element, thi box was extended, resulting in a new, highly conserved RNA secondary structure, the THI element, which is widely distributed in eubacteria and also occurs in some archaea. The record is from RNAcentral. Lineage: Bacteria; Bacillati; Bacillota; Clostridia; Lachnospirales; Lachnospiraceae.